UUCACGGAGAGUUUGAUCCUGGCUCAGGACGAACGCUGGCGGCGCGCCUAACACAUGCAAGUCGAGCGAGAACCGGGGCUUCGGCCCCGGGGAAAGCGGCGAACGGGUGAGUAACACGUGGGUAAUCUGCCCUCGGCACCGGGAUAGCCCGGGGAAACCCGGAUUAAUGCCGGAUGGCCCCUCAGCCCCUCGGGGCAGUGGGAAAAGGUAGCUUCGGCCUCUGGCUGAGGAUGAGCUCGCGGCGGAUUAGCUUGUUGGUGGGGUAAAGGCCCACCAAGGCGACGAUCCGUAGCUGGUCUGAGAGGACGAUCAGCCACACUGGGACUGAGACACGGCCCAGACU
Molecule: ribosomal RNA, 343 nt
Filed under: Thermoleophilia bacterium
Lineage: Bacteria; Bacillati; Actinomycetota; Thermoleophilia
Description: bacterial SSU rRNA
Rfam family: Bacterial small subunit ribosomal RNA
Source: RNAcentral